RNAcentral lists this ribosomal RNA (464 nucleotides) under Streptococcus sanguinis. Its description in RNAcentral is "bacterial SSU rRNA". It matches the Rfam family "Bacterial small subunit ribosomal RNA", at positions 28 to 474 of the family's 1533-position model. The record is from RNAcentral. Lineage: Bacteria; Bacillati; Bacillota; Bacilli; Lactobacillales; Streptococcaceae.
GACGAACGCUGGCGGCGUGCCUAAUACAUGCAAGUAGAACGCUGAAGAGAGGAGCUUGCUCUUCUUGGAUGAGUUGCGAACGGGUGAGUAACGCGUAGGUAACCUGCCUGGUAGCGGGGGAUAACUAUUGGAAACGAUAGCUAAUACCGCAUAAAAUUGAUUAUUGCAUGAUAAUUAAUUGAAAGAUGCAAUUGCAUCACUACCAGAUGGACCUGCGUUGUAUUAGCUAGUUGGUGAGGUAACGGCUCACCAAGGCGACGAUACAUAGCCGACCUGAGAGGGUGAUCGGCCACACUGGGACUGAGACACGGCCCAGACUCCUACGGGAGGCAGCAGUAGGGAAUCUUCGGCAAUGGGGGGAACCCUGACCGAGCAACGCCGCGUGAGUGAAGAAGGUUUUCGGAUCGUAAAGCUCUGUUGUAAGAGAAGAACGAGUGUGAGAGUGGAAAGUUCACACUGUGACG